GCGGAGGGAUCAUUACUGAGUUUACGCUCUAUAACCCUUUGUGAACAUACCUAUAACUGUUGCUUCGGCGGGUAGGGUCUCCGUGACCCUCCCGGCCUCCCGCCCCCGGGCGGGUCGGCGCCCGCCGGAGGAUAACCAAACUCUGAUUUAACGACGUUUCUUCUGAGUGGUACAAGCAAAUAAUCAAAACUUUUAACAACGGAUCUCUUGGUUCUGGCAUCGAUGAAGAACGCAGCGAAAUGCGAUAAGUAAUGUGAAUUGCAGAAUUCAGUGAAUCAUCGAAUCUUUGAACGCACAUUGCGCCCGCCAGCAUUCUGGCGGGCAUGCCUGUUCGAGCGUCAUUUCAACCCUCAAGCUCUGCUUGGUGUUGGGGCCCUACAGCUGAUGUAGGCCCUCAAAGGUAGUGGCGGACCCUCCCGGAGCCUCCUUUGCGUAGUAACUUUACGUCUCGCACUGGGAUCCGGAGGGACUCUUGCCGUAAAACCCCCAAUUUUCCAAAGGUUGACCUCGGAUCAGGUAGGAAUACCCGCUGAACUUAAGCAUAUCAAUAAGCGGAGGAAAAGAAACCAACAGGGAUUGCCUCAGUAACGGCGAGUGAAGCGGCAACAGCUCAAAUUUGAAAUCUGGCCCUAGGCCCGAGUUGUAAUUUGCAGAGGAUGCUUUUGGUGCGGUGCCUUCCAAGUUCCCUAGAACGGGACGCCAGAGAGGGUGAGAGCCCCGUACAGUUGGACACCAAGCCUUUGUAAAGCUCCUUCGACGAGUCGAGUAGUUUGGGAAUGCUGCUCAAAA
RNAcentral lists this ribosomal RNA (789 nucleotides) under fungal endophyte. RNAcentral's name for it is "eukaryotic LSU rRNA". The stretch from base 503 to 789 matches the Rfam family "Eukaryotic large subunit ribosomal RNA", at positions 1 to 292 of the family's 3401-position model. Lineage: Eukaryota; Fungi. The record is from RNAcentral.